RNAcentral lists this ribosomal RNA (480 nucleotides) under uncultured soil bacterium. RNAcentral describes it as "bacterial SSU rRNA". It matches the Rfam family "Bacterial small subunit ribosomal RNA", at positions 26 to 518 of the family's 1533-position model. The record is from RNAcentral.
AGGACGAACGCUGGCGGCGUGCUUAACACAUGCAAGUCACGGGGGGUAGCAAUACCAACCGGCGAACGGGUGCGUAACACGUGAGCAACCUACCGAUUUGUGGGGGAUAGCCGGCCUAACGGCCGGGUAAUACCGCAUACGCUUGUAAGGCCUCCUGGUCUAACAAGGAAACCUCCGGGGCAAAUCGAGGGGCUCGCGGCCUAUCAGCUAGUUGGCGAGGUCACGGCUCACCAAGGCGACGACGGGUAGCUGGUCUGAGAGGAUGGCCAGCCACAUUGGGACUGAGAAACGGCCCAGACUCCUACGGGAGGCAGCAGUGGGGAAUCUUGCGCAAUGGACGAAAGUCUGACGCAGCGACGCCGCGUGGGGGAUGAAGGCUUUCGGGUUGUAAACCCCUGUUGCCCGGGACGAACUUCUCUAUUCGUAGAGAUUGACGGUACCGGUGAGGAAGCGACCGGCUAACUCUGUGCCAGCAGCCGC